GCCGCGCGGCGACCGUGGCCUGCUAACUGAUUUCAUUUUGGAUUUGAUUUGCAUUUUAGGAUGAUACAUCUUCCAUCAAAACUGGAGGAUGGAUUCGACCUUGUCCUAUUCGUGCUGCUGGAGGAUGGAAAGAUGUACAUGGAGCUGAAACCUCAAACAUACAUUUUGAUGAGGAAUUUCUAUCUUUUAUUUAUUAAGAUAAAGAGUGGUCCAAUCCAGCAUGGAGUAGUGGAGUGCUGCUUCAACGAUUUUGAUUGAUACAUGGAGUUGCGAACUUGACCAUACCAGUGCAUCUCAGGCAAGGGAAUCAAAAGUAUGGCACUGUGUGUGUGGUGCCAACUUCAGUGACGCCACUCUGAAGUUGAGGCCCAUACUCUGAGUUAUAUGUAGAAUUGAAGCUGGCCUUUCGAGAAAGACUCUGUUCAGUUCUAUGAUUCAGGGAUGCUGGUACAUGUCAAUAGUGAAUCUGAAGCUAUAACUCUUAUGAAGGCUCAUGUAUGGUGUAAGUGCUUAGGCAAUCUGUUAUCUUCUUUUACCACAUAGACAAUAUUUGAAAAUUUCAUAGGUAUUGGCUCUUUAUACUGGAGCUUUUGUGGUGUCCUAUGAAUAUUUGUAAGCCGCUCCUCUGUGAAUGGGCAGUUAGUAUAAUUCUAUUACCCAAUUGUAAAUACGUGUGAUUUUAAAAUUCUUGACAUGAUUUGACAAAAAAGAGCAUGUUCCACGGAAGAAGCAAUUUUUAUUUGUGUUAAUGUCUAAAAAAUGUUGCAUCUCACUCAAAUAUUUCAUGUUAUGAUUACGUCUGACUUGUGUCACUUAAAAUGUUAUAUGUGAUUGAAAAAUUAGAGUGCAUACCAUCAGCUUACUUAGUUUUUUUACAUAUUGUUUUCUGACUAAUACAUUUUGUGUUGGGACAGAGAACAUGGUUUAAUUUCA
Lolium rigidum is the source of this 933-nucleotide long non-coding RNA. RefSeq lists it as uncharacterized. NCBI's taxonomy places the organism in Eukaryota, Viridiplantae, Streptophyta, Magnoliopsida, Poales, Poaceae. The record is from RefSeq and is a predicted model, not a curated record. The transcript is spliced from 3 exons.